CCCCUCUCAGGGUCACACCCGGAGAGUUCUCCGUACUCUACCAGUCUUGACUACAGGAGGGAGAGUCAGGCAGAGGCCUAUCCACUCCGUUCCUAGCUUGGGCAGUGGCUAGCGAGUGGAAGACAAUCCGCUACAAGU
RNAcentral lists this small nucleolar RNA (138 nucleotides) under Ornithorhynchus anatinus (platypus). Lineage: Eukaryota; Metazoa; Chordata; Mammalia; Monotremata; Ornithorhynchidae. The record is from RNAcentral.